Molecule: long non-coding RNA, 2190 nt
Organism: Carassius gibelio (silver crucian carp)
Lineage: Eukaryota; Metazoa; Chordata; Actinopteri; Cypriniformes; Cyprinidae
Exons: 2
Source: RefSeq, a predicted model, not a curated record
GCGCUUCCUUUUUGAAUUUUUGUACAGAGAGGUCCUGCAGCAAUGUAUCGCUCUUCUACUGGUCCACAUCUUCGCGUUAUGCAAAUUCCCUGGUCAGAGUUCACCAAACUUGAAUUUUUGAACACAGCGAAAUGCGAAAUUUCGCAUAAGCUUGCGUCUCCGGUCCGACGCAUUUGCAUGCGUAUGAAUGGAGUCAUUGGAGAGAAAAGUGCAGUGUGACCGCCCAUCACUCAUAGCUAACUAACGGCUGGAGGGGCACCUUAAGGAGGUUCUGCUCAUGCUGUCAAACUGACGUCAUCAGAAAAAUUAUUCGUUACAGAGUGGAAAUGUUCAGAAUUUGAUAAGAUUACUAAGACAAACAAUGUUUAAUUGUUUACAUUAAGAUUAGCAAUGUGUGCUAGUAAGCUUAAGUCAAUUCGAUAUAUGCGUAUUUUAAACUUAACCCCUUAACUGUCACUCCCCAUUUUUUAUUAUUUUUUUUUUAUUAAGUUGACGUAUCAGCGGUUAAGCUACAAUCAAGGCUUGUUUAUUUCGCGCAUCUACUGGUGUUGGUUCAUCACUCUUACUCGGCUGUUGCGGCUUUCACUUUACACUUUUUGACUUCAGACAGCUGUGCCCUCAGCCAACCGGAUUCUUCAGUCUGCCCUCCGUUAGCAGACAUGAUACUAAACGAAGUGCUUACGUCAGCUGGAAAUCACAUUUCUAAGGCGUUGCUCCCUCUUCAAUCAAGCCUACCCGUUGCAUGGUCCGCUCUAAUGUUUUUCCUUCCAGUUUUUGCGUUCCUAUUCUAAUUUCGACCGUUGCUCCUUCUCGUCUUAAUAAAAAAAAAAAAAAAAAAAAAAAAAAAUCUUAAAAUUUCUCUAUUCGCAGUCUCCUUGCCAGCAUCUAAUCCACGCUAAAUUUUAUAAUCUAAUUUUCAAGCCUUUUGGUUAUUCAGUUCUAUUACUACUUGAGGGGUUAGCUAAAUCUUCCAACAAAUUAAAGACAAUGUCUGCCUAUUACCCUGCCCAUAUUGCAAAAUUAAUUACUUCCAUCUGCUACAGCCUUCCUUCGAAGUACCUCAAUAUUCUUCUCGAGGCAGUGUUUAUCUGCCUUCUACAGGUUAUGCUUCCAGGGGAAUUCACUUCAAACCAAUCAAUUUGAUCCUGCUCGCGUCAUUUCCUUCAGAUCUAUGAUUCGGACCAAAAAUUCUUCACACUCUCCUCAAGCACUCAAAACCGAUGUGCAAGGUUCUGGUGUCACCUUAACAAUUCUAAAAUCAAUAAAUCCUGUCCCUUCUCUGCAUGGUGAAAUUUCUUAAAAUCCGACCUAGAAUUUCUAAAACGCACCAGCUCUAUUUUUUCUAACGGAGCCCCCUUUCCAAGGCUGUUUAGAACUCACUUAACCACUGUUCUCAAAGCUGCAGUCUAUCUACUGGCCAUUCAUUCAGAAUUGGGGCAGCUACUUCAGCAGCUGAACGAGGGAUCUCUACAUCAGCUGUUAAGAUCAUGGGCAGAUGGUCUUCCUCAGCAUUUGAAUCAUACAUCAGACCUGAUUCAAAACCAUUAUUGAAGCUCAGCAAGCUCUCCUGUAACUAAUCAGGAACCUUAGGAUUCACAACUGGUGGGUAUACUUCAUCUACUUUUUUGGGGGGAAGGCUGGCCCCGUCUGGAGGUCUCAUAAUCCACCUAAUUUUGGGGGUCUGCUGCGCCCCUGCCUUCGUCUUCAGGCAGGAAAUGCAGAUUCGCUACCCUCGGAUUACGAACCAUGGACGGGGCCUUCCGCCAAAGAAAUUUAUAAUUGUGCUCGCUGAGCUGUCAAUAAAUGUAUGCUUCGUACAUCCUUCUAUCUCCCGAGUCUUUCUGGUAGAAAUGGAAGCUUUAGCCUAAGUUCUGCCAGGAAGACUCAAUCACUUCGUCACUAAUUACCUUCAGCAUUAUCCAAUCACGUCUUUAUACUCCUGUAUAAAAGAUCGUACUUACACAUGUUUGAGUUCGCAGAUGCCGACGCGACAACAACCUCCACCCUCCCCACCACCACCAGGAUGGUCCUGUCCUUACCUUCCAGGGGGGUCUGCUGCGCCCCUGCCUUCGUCUUCAGGCAGGAAAUGCAGAUUCGCUACCCUCGGAUUACGAACCAUGGACGGGGCCUUCCGCCAAAGAAAUUUAUAAUUGUGCUCGCUGAGCUGUCAAUAAAUGUAUGCUUCGUACA